CCUACGUGAGACAGCAGUGGGGAAUAUUGCGCAAUGGGCGAAAGCCUGACGCAGCGACGCCGCGUGAGGGAUGAAGGUCUUCGGAUCGUAAACCUCUGUCAGCAGGGAAGAACGGUCACUGUGCUAAUCAGCAGUGAAUUGACGGUACCUGCAAAGGAAGCACCGGCUAACUCCGUGCCAGCAGCCGCGGUAAUACGGAGGGUGCGAGCGUUAAUCGGAAUUACUGGGCGUAAAGCGCUCGUAGGCGGUAUGUCAAGUCAAGGGUGAAAUCCCCGCGCUCAACGUGGGAACUGCCUUUGAAACUAGCAAACUGGAGUGUGUGAGAGGAUAGUGGAAUUCCAGGGGUAGGAGUGAAAUCCGUAGAUAUCUGGAGGAACAUCAGUGGCGAAGGCGACUAUCUGGCACAUAACUGACGCUGAGGAGCGAAAGCGUGGGUAGCAAACAGGAUUAGAUACCCCUGUAGUC
RNAcentral lists this ribosomal RNA (465 nucleotides) under uncultured bacterium. RNAcentral describes it as "partial 16S ribosomal RNA". It matches the Rfam family "Bacterial small subunit ribosomal RNA", at positions 338 to 795 of the family's 1533-position model. The record is from RNAcentral.